This 401-nucleotide ribosomal RNA is filed under the name uncultured bacterium. RNAcentral describes it as "bacterial SSU rRNA". It matches the Rfam family "Bacterial small subunit ribosomal RNA", at positions 358 to 774 of the family's 1533-position model. The record is from RNAcentral.
GGAAUAUUGCGCAAUGGAGGAAACUCUGACGCAGUGACGCCGCGUAUAGGAAGAAGGUUUUAGGAUUGUAAACUAUUUUAGUCAGGGAAGAAUAAAAGACGGUACCUGAAGAAUAAGCUCCGGCUAACUACGUGCCAGCAGCCGCGGUAAUACGUAGGGAGCAAGCGUUAUCCGGAAUUAUUGGGUGUAAAGGGUGCGUAGACGGGAAUUUAAGUUGGUUGUGAAAUCCCUCGGCUCAACUGAGGAACUGCAACCAAAACUGAAUUUCUUGAGUGCAGGAGAGGAAAGCGGAAUUCCUAGUGUAGCGGUGAAAUGCGUAGAUAUUAGGAGGAACACCAGUGGCGAAGGCGGCUUUCUGGACUGUAACUGACGUUGAGGCACGAAAGUGUGGGGAGCAAACA